Molecule: ribosomal RNA, 406 nt
Filed under: uncultured bacterium
Lineage: Bacteria
Description: partial 16S ribosomal RNA
Rfam family: Bacterial small subunit ribosomal RNA
Source: RNAcentral
AUUGAACGCUGGCGGCAGGCCUAAUACAUGCAAGUAGAGCGAGCCGCGCACGGGUGAGUAAUGUCUGGGAAACUGCCCGAUGGAGGGGGAUAACUACUGGAAACGGUAGCUAAUACCGCAUACCAUCAGAUGUGCCCAGAUGGGAUUGGCUAGUAGGUGGGGUAAUGGCUCACCUAGGCGACGACCCCUAGCCGGUCCGAGAGGAUGACCAGCCACACUGGAACGGGAACAGGGUCCAGACUCCUACGGGGGGCAGCAGUGGGGAAUUUUGCACAAUGGGCGCAAGCCUGAUAAAGACAUGCCGCGUGUGUGAGGAAGGCCUUCGGGUUGUAAAGCACUUUCAGCGAGGAGGCGUUACUCGCAGAAAAAGCACCGGCUAACUCCGUGCCAGCAGCCGCGGUAAUAC